UAUUAAAAAAUUCAUCCAUUUUCUACCGUUAGAAACCGGUGUGGCUGACAGAAUAACACGCCAUGUGUACAUCAUAUCAUUCUAACAUAUACCAGUUUUUGACAGUAGAAAUGAAUGAAUUUUUAACA
Gossypium hirsutum (cotton) is the source of this 128-nucleotide non-coding RNA. The record is from Rfam. Lineage: Eukaryota; Viridiplantae; Streptophyta; Magnoliopsida; Malvales; Malvaceae.